This 330-nucleotide small nuclear RNA is filed under the name Propithecus coquereli (Coquerel's sifaka). Its description in RNAcentral is "7SK RNA (ENSPCOG00000010690.1)". It matches the Rfam family "7SK RNA". Rfam says of the family: 7SK was discovered as an abundant small nuclear RNA in the mid-70s but a possible function has only recently been suggested. Two independent studies have found that 7SK RNA binds the CDK9/cyclin T complex (known as elongation factor P-TEFb). Lineage: Eukaryota; Metazoa; Chordata; Mammalia; Primates; Indriidae. The record is from Rfam by way of RNAcentral.
GAAUGGGAGGGCAAGCUGGCUGUGACAUCUGUCAUCCCAUUAAUCACCAGGGUUGAUUCGGCUGAUCUAGCUGCCUACGUGGGUGUCUCCUUCCUCCUUCACUGCUCCAUGUACCUCCCUCCUGAAGCUGCAGCUGAAUGGGAAAGGACAACCUUCCCUAAUAGAGGAGGAGCGUUCUUCACUCAAGGGUAAGGGAAUAGCAGUGCUCCUCUGCUAGAACCUGCAAACAAGUUCUCAAGGUCCAUCUGUAGGAGAAAGUAGUGUGGUCAAGCUUCCAAGACACCGUACACAUCCAAAUGAAGCACUGUACGUGGCAAUCUGCCUUUCUUU